This 301-nucleotide ribosomal RNA is filed under the name uncultured bacterium. RNAcentral describes it as "partial 16S ribosomal RNA". It matches the Rfam family "Bacterial small subunit ribosomal RNA", at positions 509 to 807 of the family's 1533-position model. The record is from RNAcentral.
CAGUCGCCGCGGUAAUACGAAGGGUGCAAGCGUUACUCGGAAUUACUGGGCGUAAAGCGUGCGUAGGUGGUGGUUUAAGUCCGUUGUGAAAGCCCUGGGCUCGACCUGGGAAUUGCAGUGGAUACUGGAUCACUAGAGUGUGGUAGAGGAUAGUGGAAUUUCCGGUGUAGCAGUGAAAUGCGUAGAGAUCGGAAGGAACAUCUGUGGCGAAGGCGACUAUCUGGGCCAACACUGACACUGAGGCACGAAAGCGUGGGGAGCAAACAGGAUUAGAUACCCCAGUAGUCCCUGUCUCUUAUAC